RNAcentral lists this ribosomal RNA (494 nucleotides) under Actinomycetales bacterium Cul_0118. Its description in RNAcentral is "bacterial SSU rRNA". It matches the Rfam family "Bacterial small subunit ribosomal RNA", at positions 79 to 586 of the family's 1533-position model. Lineage: Bacteria; Bacillati; Actinomycetota; Actinomycetes; Actinomycetales. The record is from RNAcentral.
CUUGCUCUGUGGGAUCAGUGGCGAACGGGUGAGUAACACGUGAGCAACCUGCCCCUGACUCUGGGAUAAGCGCUGGAAACGGCGUCUAAUACUGGAUAUGUGACGUGAUCGCAUGGUCUGCGUCUGGAAAGAAUUUCGGUUGGGGAUGGGCUCGCGGCCUAUCAGCUUGUUGGUGAGGUAAUGGCUCACCAAGGCGUCGACGGGUAGCCGGCCUGAGAGGGUGACCGGCCACACUGGGACUGAGACACGGCCCAGACUCCUACGGGAGGCAGCAGUGGGGAAUAUUGCACAAUGGGCGCAAGCCUGAUGCAGCAACGCCGCGUGAGGGACGACGGCCUUCGGGUUGUAAACCUCUUUUAGCAGGGAAGAAGCGAAAGUGACGGUACCUGCAGAAAAAGCGCCGGCUAACUACGUGCCAGCAGCCGCGGUAAUACGUAGGGCGCAAGCGUUAUCCGGAAUUAUUGGGCGUAAAGAGCUCGUAGGCGGUUUGUCGC